ACACGAGCGGCGAACGGGUGAGUAACACGUGAGCAACCUACCCUCAACUUUGGGAUAAGCCUCGGAAACGGGGUCUAAUACCGGAUAAUACUGACCGUCUCAUGGUGGUUGGUUGAAAGUUCUGGCGGUUGGGGAUGGGCUCGCGGCCUAUCAGCUUGUUGGUGGGGUAAUGGCCUACCAAGGCGUCGACGGGUAGCCGGCCUGAGAGGGCGACCGGCCACACUGGGACUGAGACCGCCCCAUCCUUAUACGGGAGGCAGCAGUGGGGAAUAUUGCGCAAUGGACGAAAGUCUGACGCAGCAACGCCGCGUGAGGGAUGACGGCCUUCGGGUUGUAAACCUCUUUCAGCAGGGACGAAGCGAGAGUGACGGUACCUGCAGAAGAAGGACCGGCCAACUACGUGCCAGCAGCCGCGGUAAUACGUAGGGUCCGAGCGUUGUCCGGAAUUAUUGGGCGUAAAGGGCUCGUAGGCGGUUCGUCACGUCGGGAGUGAAAACUCGGGGCUUAACCCCGAGCCUGCUUCCGAUACGGGCAGACUAGAGGUAGGCAGGGGAGAGCGGAACUCCUGGUGUAGCGGUGGAAUGCGCAGAUAUCAGGAAGAACACCGGUGGCGAAGGC
RNAcentral lists this ribosomal RNA (618 nucleotides) under Kribbella swartbergensis. RNAcentral describes it as "bacterial SSU rRNA". It matches the Rfam family "Bacterial small subunit ribosomal RNA", at positions 89 to 722 of the family's 1533-position model. The record is from RNAcentral. Lineage: Bacteria; Bacillati; Actinomycetota; Actinomycetes; Propionibacteriales; Kribbellaceae.